This 252-nucleotide ribosomal RNA is filed under the name uncultured bacterium. RNAcentral's name for it is "partial 16S ribosomal RNA". It matches the Rfam family "Bacterial small subunit ribosomal RNA", at positions 524 to 776 of the family's 1533-position model. The record is from RNAcentral.
UACGUAAGGACCGAGCGUUGUCCGGAAUCAUUGGGCGUAAAGGGCACGUAGGGGGUUAGAAAAGUUAGAAGUGAAAGGCUAUAGCUAAACUAUAGUAAGCAUUUAAAACUGUUUAACUUGAGAGAUGGAAGGGAAAGUGGAAUUCCUAGUGUAGCGGUGAAAUGCGCAGAUAUUAGGAGGAAUACCGGUGGCGAAGGCGGCUUUCUGGCCAAAAACUGACGCUGAGGUACGAAAGCGUGGGUAGCAAACAGG